Molecule: ribosomal RNA, 277 nt
Filed under: Caenorhabditis elegans
Lineage: Eukaryota; Metazoa; Nematoda; Chromadorea; Rhabditida; Rhabditidae
Description: partial 28S ribosomal RNA
Rfam family: Eukaryotic large subunit ribosomal RNA
Source: RNAcentral
GAUUACCCGCUGAACUUAAGCAUAUCAUUUAGCGGAGGAAAAGAAACUAAAAAGGAUUCCCUUAGUAACGGCGAGUGAAACGGGAAGAGCCCAGCGCCGAAUCGAUCAGUCUUUGGCUGCUUCGAAAUGUGGCGUAUAGGUGUAAGUUUCCAGCAGUGUCGUAUGUCCGAAGUCCUUACGAUUGAGGCCAUAAACCAGAGAGGGUGCGAGCCCCGUUCUGGAUAGCGGCACUGUUGGUUCGCUUGCUCCUUGGAGUCGGGGUGUUUGUGAAUGCAGC